Molecule: ribosomal RNA, 431 nt
Filed under: uncultured bacterium
Lineage: Bacteria
Description: partial 16S ribosomal RNA
Rfam family: Bacterial small subunit ribosomal RNA
Source: RNAcentral
AACGAACGCUGGCGGCAGGCUUAACACAUGCAAGUCGAACGCCCCGCAAGGGGAGUGGCAGACGGGUGAGUAACGCGUGGGAAUCUACCCAUCCCUACGGAAUAACGCAUGGAAACGUGUGCUAAUACCGUAUACGCCCUACGGGGGAAAGAUUUAUCGGGGAUGGAUGAGCCCGCGUUGGAUUAGCUAGUUGGUGGGGUAAAGGCCUACCAAGGCGACGAUCCAUAGCUGGUCUGAGAGGAUGAUCAGCCACAUUGGGACUGAGACACGGCCCAAACUCCUACGGGAGGCAGCAGUGGGGAAUAUUGGACAAUGGGCGCAAGCCUGAUCCAGCCAUGCCGCGUGAGUGAUGAAGGCCGUAGGGUUGUAAAGCUCUUUCACCGGAGAAGAUAAUGACGGUAUCCGGAGAAGAAGCCCCGGCUAACUUCGUG